This 468-nucleotide ribosomal RNA is filed under the name uncultured bacterium. RNAcentral's name for it is "partial 16S ribosomal RNA". It matches the Rfam family "Bacterial small subunit ribosomal RNA", at positions 28 to 507 of the family's 1533-position model. The record is from RNAcentral.
GACGAACGCUGGCGGCGUGCUUAACACAUGCAAGUCGAACGGAAAGGCCCUGCUUUUGUGGGGUGCUCGAGUGGCGAACGGGUGAGUAACACGUGAGUAACCUGCCCUUGACUUUGGGAUAACUUCAGGAAACUGGGGCUAAUACCGGAUAGGAGCUCCUGCUGCAUGGUGGGGGUUGGAAAGUUUCGGCGGUUGGGGAUGGACUCGCGGCUUAUCAGCUUGUUGGUGGGGUAGUGGCUUACCAAGGCUUUGACGGGUAGCCGGCCUGAGAGGGUGACCGGCCACAUUGGGACUGAGAUACGGCACAGACUCCUACGGGAGGCAGCAGAGGGGAAUAUUGCACAAUGGGCGGAAGCCUGAUGCAGCAACGCCGCGUGGGGGAUGACGGCAUUCGGGUUGUAAACCGCUUUCGCCUGUGACGAAGCGUGAGUGACGGUAAUGGGUAAAGAAGCACCGGCUAACUACGUG